This 254-nucleotide ribosomal RNA is filed under the name uncultured bacterium. RNAcentral describes it as "partial 16S ribosomal RNA". It matches the Rfam family "Bacterial small subunit ribosomal RNA", at positions 524 to 776 of the family's 1533-position model. The record is from RNAcentral.
UACGUAGGGGGCUAGUGUUGUCCGGAUUUAUUGGGCGUAAAGAGCUCGUAGGUGGUUCGGUAAGUCGGAUGUGAAAUCUCCAGGCUCAACCUGGAGGGGUCAUUCGAUACUGCCGUGACUAGAGUUCGGUAGAGGAGUGUGGAAUUCCUGGUGGAGCGGUGAAAUGCGCAGAGAUCAGGAGGAACACCCGUAGCGAAGGCGGCACUCUGGGCCGAUACUGACACUGAGGAGCGAAAGCCAGGGGAGCAAACGGG